This is a long non-coding RNA of Gadus macrocephalus (Pacific cod), 319 nucleotides long. RefSeq lists it as uncharacterized. Lineage: Eukaryota; Metazoa; Chordata; Actinopteri; Gadiformes; Gadidae. The transcript has 2 exons. The record is from RefSeq and is a predicted model, not a curated record.
AGGAGGAGGAUGUUGUUGUUGUUCUGUCGGCCAGCGUCUGACUGCUGCCCCACGUCCGGGUUUCUUCUUCGGUGGUUCGUAGAGGGGCGGACCCUCCGGAGGCUACUGCAGCCUCAUUGGUCCCAUGGGCUCUACCGUAAGGGGCGUGACUUCGCCACUAUUGAGGCCGCUGCCAACACAGCCCAUCCCGCCACCUCAAUAACCUCUUCUGCAUUGGUAGCUGUAAGCCCCCCAACCCCCAGGGAGAUAGGAAGAUUAACCAUCCACUGAUGGUUUAAACCCACCGAGGUACUGAUUAAAUGUGCUGGUUGAUGCCUUU